RNAcentral lists this long non-coding RNA (537 nucleotides) under Daucus carota (carrot). RNAcentral's name for it is "long non-coding RNA (DCAR_LNC007261)". The record is from RNAcentral. Lineage: Eukaryota; Viridiplantae; Streptophyta; Magnoliopsida; Apiales; Apiaceae.
UUCAGGAAAAUUGCAAAAGCUUGAAGAAAUAAAAGAAUAAAGCAAAAAGGAGAAAAAGAUGGGAAGAAAAGGAUCAUAGGGGAAUAUUCUCAAGGAAGCAUCUAGAUGGGACACCUACACCCCCACUCUACCCUAAUUUCCCCCUAUAAAUACAAAUCUCCCCAUCAUGUUUCAACCUACCUAGGAUUUUCUAUUUUUAGUAGUCUCUCUUCUGUGUAGUAGAUCUAGUAGUGGCACUCUAAAUUUGUAAUCACUUUUAUAUCAAUACAAGUAUUCAUCUUUGUUAUUCAUUUUUGUUCUUAAAUCUUGCUCUUUACUUUUACUCCUAGGCUAUGAAAUCUAUCUCUAACCACAUGAGACUCAAAAUUACUUGUGGAGGAGAAAAAGAUGGGAAGAAAAGGAUCAUAGGGGAAUAUUCUCAAGGAAGCAUCUAGAUGGGACACCUACACCCCCCCUCUACCCUAAUUUCCCCCUAUAAAUACACACCUCCCCAUCAUGUUUCAACCAACCUAGGAUUUCAUAUUUUUAGUAGCCUCU